UUUGGGCUCAAGGAAGCGAGACUGAUGAAGUGCUCAUUGAGUUAUUAUUCAGGCCAGCAGUUCUUAGCUACAUGUGGAACUGAUUUGGGAGUGGUUCUACCCCCCCCCCCCCCCGCUGCAUGUUUUUCUUCUGUUUGGAGACUGUCUGGCAUCAUGCUGCCUCAUAUGUGAACAAAGAAGGGAAGCCAAGUCUGAUUGUCUUAUUGUUGGCUCCUUACUUACUUACCCUCAGUGCUCUCUACCUCUUAAGAAGCUCUGGAUCUCAGGCCUGUGAACAGUUUGAAUUCCACUGGAGUGAAUUUCAGACAACUAUACACUGGAUGCAUCAGCCAACACAGCAGCUAAUGUGAAUGUGAAACCAGACCACAACAUGGACAUCAAAACCACACGCUCUCCAAACACUGACUUACAGUCUACCCAUAGCAAGGCUACCCCAGAGGAGAAAUGUGUGGAAAACAGCAGGGGUGUACAUAACAGGUGAGGUCUUGUAUGCCCCUAGUGACAAACCAUAUCUGCCCCACAUUUUUUCCCCCUCAUUAUGCUAAAUUGACACAUAAGAAGUGUCAUGGUCCUGGGUCUUUGACCCCAGGUUUUUGUUUGGACUUUUUCAUUAUUUGGAAUUAUGAGAUGAUUAUGUUUAGUUGUUGUGAGACUCUGUUUUAGUUAAUUAUAUUUCUAGUUUUUGGUUCUUGUUUGUUUUCAUGGCUGUUUUCUUUUUCGUGUCCCAUCUGUCUACGUCUCGUUUGUGUUCAGUCUUCAGCAUCUCCUGAUAUUGUUUGUCUGAUCUCUGUGUCUUUUUGUCUCCAUGUCUGUUCAUUCCAUUGUCCCAGUGUCAGGUUUACG
Long non-coding RNA from Oreochromis aureus, 843 nucleotides. Lineage: Eukaryota; Metazoa; Chordata; Actinopteri; Cichliformes; Cichlidae. The record is from Ensembl.